RNAcentral lists this ribosomal RNA (608 nucleotides) under Salmonella enterica subsp. enterica. RNAcentral describes it as "partial 23S ribosomal RNA". It matches the Rfam family "Bacterial large subunit ribosomal RNA", at positions 1084 to 1693 of the family's 2925-position model. Lineage: Bacteria; Pseudomonadati; Pseudomonadota; Gammaproteobacteria; Enterobacterales; Enterobacteriaceae. The record is from RNAcentral.
CCCAGACAGCCAGGAUGUUGGCUUAGAAGCAGCCAUCAUUUAAAGAAAGCGUAAUAGCUCACUGGUCGAGUCGGCCUGCGCGGAAGAUGUAACGGGGCUAAACCAUGCACCGAAGCUGCGGCAGCGACGCUGAUGCGUUGUUGGGUAGGGGAGCGUUCUGUAAGCCUGUGAAGGUGGCCUGUGAGGGUUGCUGGAGGUAUCAGAAGUGCGAAUGCUGACAUAAGUAACGAUAAAGCGGGUGAAAAGCCCGCUCGCCGGAAGACCAAGGGUUCCUGUCCAACGUUAAUCGGGGCAGGGUGAGUCGACCCCUAAGGCGAGGCCGAAAGGCGUAGUCGAUGGGAAACAGGUUAAUAUUCCUGUACUUGGUGUUACUGCGAAGGGGGGACGGAGAAGGCUAUGUUGGCCGGGCGACGGUUGUCCCGGUUUAAGCGUGUAGGCUGGUUUUCCAGGCAAAUCCGGAAAAUCAAGGCUGAGGCGUGACGACGAGGCACUACGGUGCUGAAGCAACAAAUGCCCUGCUUCCAGGAAAAGCCUCUAAGCAUCAGGUAACAUCAAAUCGUACCCCAAACCGACACAGGUGGUCAGGUAGAGAAUACCAAGGCGCUUGA